Long non-coding RNA from Oncorhynchus keta (chum salmon), 5809 nucleotides. RefSeq lists it as uncharacterized. Lineage: Eukaryota; Metazoa; Chordata; Actinopteri; Salmoniformes; Salmonidae. The transcript has 2 exons. The record is from RefSeq and is a predicted model, not a curated record.
UUGAGUUUUUGUUUUUUCAGGCUUGAUUCAUUCAGAACUUCCAUACAGCAAAGCAUCCCCAAACCAUCACACUACCACCACCACGCUUCACCGUUGGGACGAGGUCCUUACUGUGGAAUCAUCACACUACCACCACCACGCUUCACCGUUGGGAUGAGGUCCUUACUGUGGAAUCAUCACACUACCACCACCACGCUUCACCGUUGGGAUGAGGUCCUUACUGUGGAAUCAUCACACUACCACCACCACGCUUCACCGUUGGGAUGAGGUCCUUACUGUGGAAUCAUCACACUACCACCACCACGCUUCACCGUUGGGAUGAGGUCCUUACUGUGGAAUCAUCACACUACCACCACCACGCUUCACCGUUGGGAUGAGGUCCUUACUGUGGAAUCAUCACACUACCACCACCACGCUUCACCGUUGGGAUGAGGUCCUUACUGUGGAAUCAUUACACUACCACCACCACGCUUCACCGUUGGGAUGAGGUCCUUACUGUGGAAUCAUCACACUACCACCACCACGCUUCACCGUUGGGAUGAGGUCCUUACUGUGGAAUCAUCACACUACCAUCACCACGCUUCAGCGUUGGGAUGAGGUCCUUAUGGAAUGUUUGGUUUUUGACCAGGCAUAAUGGGACCCAUGUUUUCCAAAAAGUUAUACUUUUGACUCAUCUGUCCAUAGAACAUUCUUCCAAGAGUCUUGAUUAUCAUCCAGGUGCUUCCAGGUACUUUUUGGCAAACUUUUUGGAUGAGAAAAACCAAACACUGCAUUCCUCAGUAAGAAACUCAUACCAACGGUCAAACAUGGUGGUGGUAGUGUGAUAGUUUGGGGAUGCUUUGCUGCCUCAGGACAUGGAUGACUUGCCUUAAUAGAAGGAACCAUGAAUUCUGCAGUAUAUCAGAGAAUUCUACAGGAGAAUGUCAGGCCAUCCGCCUGGGAGCUGAAGCUGGAGCACAGCUGGGUCGUGCAUCAAGACAAUGAUCCAAAACACAUAAUCAAAUCUACAUGAAAAUGGUUAAAAAGCAACACAUUUGAAGUUUUGGAAUGGCCUAGUCAAAGUCCAGACCUAAUCCCAAUUGAGAUGUUGUGGCAGGACUUGAAACGAGCAGUUCAUACUUGAAAACCCACAAAUGUUGCUUAGUUAUGUUCCGCAUGUAAGAGUGGUCUAAAAUUCCUCCUCCACAAUGUGACAGACUGAUCAACAACUACAGGAAGUGUUUGGUUGCAGUCAUUGCAGCUAAAGGUGGCACAGCCAGUUAUUGAGUGUAAGGGGGCAGUUACUUUCUCAGACAGGGGCACUGGGUGUUGCAUUACUUUAUUAAGUAUAAAUAGUUUUUGUUAUUUGUUAACUCAGGUUCCCUUUAUUUAAUAUUAGGUUUUGGUUAAAGAUUGGAAAACAUUCAGUAUCAGCACUUUUUCCCGGCACUGCAGUAUGUUCACCAUUUCAAUAUGCGUGGACGUUCCAUGCACAAAUUCUGUGGGGUUUUAGCAAUUGUCUGUGUUAGUGUGUGUAAUAAUCGCUGAAGAGGUGAGAAAAGCAUGGUGUUUUGUGAUGGUGUACUUUGCAGUAAUGGAAGGAGUGUAAUAUGGAUCCAUGGUAGGUCUGUGUGUGUCGACCGAAGAGGAAAAAAUGAGCAUGUUUCAGCAAUGCUGGAAGGAGUUGAGACUAACAAGCAUUCCACUCAUACUAGGAGUUACGUUAGUUUCCGCAUUACAUGAUGUGGCUGAAGGCGAGUGGGGCUCUGUGUAGCAUACAUUGUGCCCGUUAGCUGCAGUCUGAUAGAGCGAAGCAGGGAGAUUGUACUGUAUUUCUAAGCGUUAAAGCUUUGUUUUGCUUAGAUAGAGCGUUGAUGUCCGAUGGAAGUUCUGAGUUUAUUUCCUCCUUGAAGACUGUUACCAACACCAGGAGGCUACUCUCUCUCUCUGUCAGUCUAUCUUUCUGUGCAGUAACUGUGUGUGUGUAUGUUCAGUCAAGUUAUCUCUGUCUGUGUGUAUAUGUUCAGUGUCCUGUAAGGCUUUAACCAGGGCAGUGACCUGAAGUCGCCUGUAUUCUAAGAACAUUGUUGUUGGUAGUAAUAGAUGAUAAUAUAGGGUGAGAUGUAGCCUACUUGGCUAACACUACUGUGACCUCAACUGAUCUAAUUAUUUUUUUUAUACCAAAACGUGACCCAUUUGGAUUCUCUCUGUAGCUUGGCAUGGCCUUUUUAUUUACGGGAUGCUUUUUCCAGACGUUAAACCAAACAUUAAACGGUUUCUUCCUAUUGUUUUUAACAUUAACCAAACACUAAAAACCACGGUGUAUACUCAGUGGGAGUUACUGUACUUCCAUUUAUACCCCAAUCUUUAGAUUGGUAAGUGCUUUUUUGUGACUUCCGGAGGAGGGAGUGUGUCCGCCGGAUGGCUGGAUGGUGUAGGGUGAGGUUACCCCUAGAGUUACCCCCCCCCCCGUCCUGCUGAUGGUAAUGGUCUGGGGAGGGUAAGCUGAUCCUAGAUCAACUUCUGCCUGGAGUACAGUCCCCCUGUGUGCCGUCCAUUUUGGAGAGUUCCUCCUCAGAGAGAGUAAAUAGUGUGUGUGUUUCUGUGUAGCUGCUCUGAAAGAUGGUGGAGAUAAUCCUCCUUACUUUAGCAUGCUGCUGGCUGUGUGCCAGACUAACCCUGGCCACCAGGCCUCACUACUGAGGUAUGCAUACCAUUUCCUCCCAAUGUAAGCAGACGCACCCCACUUUACAGGCACGCACACAUACAGUUUUGCAGGCAAACAACAUUUUUAUGUCUCUGUGUCCAGUAUGAAAGAAGUUACAGGUAGUUUCACCAGCCAAUGCUAACUAGCAUUCUAGCAGAUACCCAUAGUCUUCCAGCUAUAUGGCUAGCAGAUACCCAUAGUCUUCCAGCCAUAUGGCUAGCAGAUACCCAUAGUCUUCCAGCCAUAUGGCUAGCAGAUACCCAUAGUCUUCCAGCCAUAUGGCUAGCAGAUACCCAUAGUCUUCCAGCCAUAUGGCUAGCAGAUACCCAUAGUCUUCCAGCCAUAUGGCUAGCAGAUACCCAUAGUCUUCCAGCCAUAUGGCUAGCAGAUACCCAUAGUCUUCCAGCCAUAUGGCUAGCAGAUACCCAUAGUCUUCCAGCCAUCUGCUAGUGCUAGGUAGAUAAAGGGCCUCAUUGCCAAAAUCCCAAAGUAUCCCUUUAAACACACACAUACACAGGCUAGUGAUAUGCGGGUUGACUCGGAAAUCGCAGUCCCCGUGGUUAUAUCCGCUGGUAGGGUGUAGGGUGACCACAUUUAAAAUACACAAAUGUGGGACAACAGGAUGAUUUUGCUGACAUUCAUGGGACAGUGUAGCCUACAUGAUAAAAAGAUUUGUACACCCCCCUCCCCCCCCCAAAUACUUAUUUUCCACCAUAAUUUGCAAAUAAAUUUCAUAAAAAAUCCUACAAUGUGAUUUUCUGGAUUUUUUUCUCCCCCAUUUUGUCUGUCAUAGUUGAAGUGUACCUAUGAUGACAAUUACAGGCCUCCCUCAUCUUUUUAAGUGGGAGAACUUGCACAAUUGGUGGCUGACUAAAUACUUUUUUGCCCCACUGUAUACCGUCCCUGUGUCAUUUAUAGUGUAAAGAUAUGGAAUGGAUUGAUGUUUCAGUUGAGUUUAUUCAAUACUUGUAUCACAUCCGGCCGUGAUUGGGAGUCCCAUAGGGCUGCGCACAAUUGGCCCAGCAUCGUCCGGGUUUGGCUGGGGUAUGCCGUCAUUGUAAAUAAGAAUUUGUUCUUAACUGACUUGCCUCGUUAAAUAAAGGUAAAAUUUUAAAAAGCACUUCGUAACUCUCCGAUGCCAACUAUUUACAUCAGACCGUUAGAAUCACUAGGCAGCCAAAUGCCUAUAGUAGGAAACAGAGUUGUUAUCAAUAAGCCAUGUACAGUUGAAGUCGGAAGUUUACAUACACCUUAGCCAAAAACAUUUCAACUCAGUUUUUCACAAUUCCAUUUAAUCCUAUUUAAAAAAUCCCUGUUUUAGGUCAGUUAGGAUCACCACUUUAUUUAAAAAAUGUGAAGUGUCAGAAUGAAAUAAUUUAUUUAUUUCAGGUUGUAUUUCUUUCAUCACAUUCCCAGUGGGUCAGAAGUUUACAUACCUUUAAAUAGUUUGCAUUGCCUUUAAAUAGUUUAACUUGGGUCAAACUUUUCCCUCAAUAAGUUGGGUCAAUUUUGGUCCAUUCCUCCUGACAGAGUUGGUGUAACUGUGUCAGGUUUGUAGGCCUCCUUGCUCGCACAUGCUUUUUCAGUUCUUCCCACAAAUGUUCUAUAGGAUUGAGGUCAGGGCUUUGUGAUGGCCACUCCAAUACCUUGACUUUGUUGUCCCUUAUUUAAUUUUAAUUUUACCUUUAUUUAACCAGGCAAGUCAGUUAAGAACAUAUUCUUAUUUUCAAUGACGGCCUGGGAACAGUGGGUUAACUGCCUGUUCAGGGGCAGAACGACAGAUUUGUACCUUGUCAGCUCGGGGGUUUCCGGUUACUAGUCCAACGCUCUAACGCUCUAAACACUAGGCUACGCUGCCGCCCCUAAACUAAGCCAUUUUGGCAUAACUUUGAAAGUAUGCUUGGGGUCAUUGUCCAUUUGGAAGAACCAUUUGCGACCACCAAGCUUUAACUUCUUGACUGAUAUCUUGAUGUUACUUCAAUAUAUCCACAUAAUUUUGCCAUCUAUUUUGUGAAGUGCACCAGUCCCUCCUGCAGCAAAGCACCCCCACAACAUGAUGAUGCCACCCCCGUGCUUCACGGUUGGGAUGGUUUUCUUCAGCUUGCAAGCCUCCCCCUUUUUCCUCCAAACAUAACUAAAUUGUAUUCGUCACAUACACAUGGUUAGCAGAUGUUAAUGCGAGUGUAGCGAAAUGCUUGUGCUUCUAGUUCCGACAAUGCAGUAAUAACCAACGAGUAAUCUAGCUAUUUAUUAACAUCAUGCAUUAGAAUUGUAAAAAGAGUCUGAUAUAAUUUGAGUUUUGGAAACGAGUGCUUUCAUUAAUGCAUGGCGCGGGCCUAGUUUCACAGGAGCAUUGUAAAAUAAGCAUUCACUCAAUGAACCAGCCUUAAUGAACUUUGUUUAAUUACAUAUCGAAUUUGAUUGUGUAACAUCAGUUGAAUAAUUUAUUUAUUUUGUGGCCGCCUAGAACAAUGAGCCAGAAAUUUCACAGAAUUUUAAAAUGUAAAGUUUCCUGUUUGGCGUUUCCAUUCACUCCCAAAUAUGGUGAUGUGAGGAAGCUGUUUAAUCAGCUUCUUGAUAUGCCACACCUGUCAGGUGGAUGGAUUAUCUUGGCGAAGGAGAACUGCUCACAGCGACGUCAACUAAUUUGUGCACAAAAUGUUAGAGAAAUAAGCUUUUUGUGCGUAUGGAAAAUGUAUUUUAUUUUAGCUCAUGGAACCUACACUUUAUAUGUUUAUUUGUUUCAGUAUAUUUCCUUACAACCAGUCAAGCUGAUGUAAUUUGGACAUUUUGCACUGAAAAUCAUUCCUGUUUUUCUUUUUUUGUUAUCACAUUUUUUCCUCUGGUCCCUGAACUUCUUUGCUCUGCAAUUUCCACAUUUUGUUGUGUUACAGCCCGAAUUAAAAAUGGAUUACAUUUCUAUUUUGUGUCACUGAUCUGCACACAAUACCUUAUAAUGUUAAUGUGGAAUUAUGUUUUUAGAAAUGUUUCUAAUUAAUAAAUAAUGUAAAGCUGAAAUGUCAUGAGUCAUUAAGUAGUCAACCCCUUUGUUAUGCCAAGCCUAAAUAAGUUCAGGAGUAAAAAUGUGCUUAACAAGUCACAUAAUAAAUUGCAUGGACUCAC